ACGGGGUGCAGCAGGGGCGAAAACUUUACAAUGCGGGCAACCGCGAUAAGGGGACCUCGAGUGCUGGGUUACAAACCUGGCUGUUGGGCUGCCUAAAAAGCAGUCUAUAGCAAGGGCCGGGCAAGACCGGUGCCAGCCGCCGCGGUAACACCGGCGGCUCGAGUGGUAACCGCUAUUAUUGGGUCUAAAGGGUCUGUAGCCGGCUGGUUAAGUCUCUUGGGAAAUCUGGCCUCUUAAGGGUCAGGCUGCCAGGAGAUACUGACUGGCUUGGGACCGGGAGAGGUGAGAGGUACCUCAGGGGUAGGGGUGAAAUCUUGUAAUCCUUGAGGGACCACCAGUGGCGAAGGCGUCUCACCAGAACGGAUCCGACGGCAAGGAACGAAAGCUAGGGGCACGAACCGGAUUAGAUACCCGGGUAGUCCUAGCCGUAAACGAUACUCGCUAGGUGUCGGCCACGGUGCGACCGUGGUCGGUGCCGUAGGGAAGCCGUGAAGCGAGCCACCUGGGAAGUACGGCCGCAAGGCUGAAACUUAAAGGAAUUGGCGGGGGAGC
Molecule: ribosomal RNA, 552 nt
Filed under: uncultured crenarchaeote
Lineage: Archaea; Thermoproteati; Thermoproteota
Description: bacterial SSU rRNA
Rfam family: Archaeal small subunit ribosomal RNA
Source: RNAcentral